RNAcentral lists this transfer RNA (82 nucleotides) under Parcubacteria group bacterium ADurb.Bin247. RNAcentral's name for it is "tRNA-Leu". It matches the Rfam family "tRNA". From Rfam's summary of the family: Transfer RNA (tRNA) molecules are approximately 80 nucleotides in length. Their secondary structure includes four short double-helical elements and three loops (D, anti-codon, and T loops). The record is from RNAcentral.
GCCGGAGUGGUGGAAUGGCAGACACGCAUGGUUUAGGACCAUGUUCCUUAUGGUGUGUGGGUUCGAGUCCCACCUCCGGCAC